This is a microRNA precursor of Monodelphis domestica (gray short-tailed opossum), 61 nucleotides long. The record is from Ensembl. Lineage: Eukaryota; Metazoa; Chordata; Mammalia; Didelphimorphia; Didelphidae.
UUCUCACCCGCUGGGCUGCCCUGUUUAAAAAGGUCCAGGGCACCCCUGUGGGUUGGGGAGG